This 273-nucleotide ribosomal RNA is filed under the name uncultured soil bacterium. Its description in RNAcentral is "partial 16S ribosomal RNA". It matches the Rfam family "Bacterial small subunit ribosomal RNA", at positions 26 to 285 of the family's 1533-position model. The record is from RNAcentral.
AGAAUCAACGCUGGCGGCGUGCCUCAGACAUGCAAGUCGAACGCGAAAGUUUCCUUCGGGGAGCGAGUAGAGUGGCGCACGGGUGAGUAACACGUAGGUAAUCUACCUUUGGAUGGGGAAUAACAACCGGAAACGGUUGCUAAUACCGCAUAAUGCAGCGCACCUAAUGGUGACAGUUGUUAAAGCGGGGGAUCGAAAGACCUCGCGUCUGAAGAGGAGCCUGCGGCGGAUUAGCUAGUUGGUAGGUAACGCCUACCAAGGCUACGAUCCGUA